UGGGGUGUAGCUCAGUGUUAGAGCACUUGCCUAGCAUGCAUGAAGCCCUGGGUUCCAUCCCCAGCAACACAC
This 72-nucleotide transfer RNA is filed under the name Ictidomys tridecemlineatus (thirteen-lined ground squirrel). RNAcentral describes it as "Spermophilus tridecemlineatus (thirteen-lined ground squirrel) tRNA". It matches the Rfam family "tRNA". From Rfam's summary of the family: Transfer RNA (tRNA) molecules are approximately 80 nucleotides in length. The record is from Rfam by way of RNAcentral. RNAcentral also lists the same sequence under 1 other name. Lineage: Eukaryota; Metazoa; Chordata; Mammalia; Rodentia; Sciuridae.